AGUAAAACAAAUCUUUGAUACCUCUCUUCUUCUUCUUCUUCCACGCAGCUUACACCAAACUCUAACCUGCUAGACUUUCUCCAGCUCAGAUCUUCUCUUUCGUUCGCAAUUAAGUUAAGACCAUGGAGCAAACUGGCGACAAAAUCGAAACAUCAGGGAGUAAAAUGACUAUUUUUAAAGGAUUGGGGCAAAGCCGUUGAAACGACCAAACCACAGGGAGCAAAACAGAAAUUUACUCAAAUAAUAAUAUUAGGCACGGUUUCUAUUAUUUCCUCAUAGUACACUGGAAAUAGGACUGAUAAAAGAUCUAACCUAAAUAUGUGAAGGGGUCCAAAAUCCAAAUGGUUUUGAGUUUUUGACUGCUUAUGAACCACGCAUGUUGUUUAUGUAAUGAAUUAUACAUUUAGGUGUUGUUUGUUUUUCAGAGAUAAAAUGUUUGCAAUCUACGGACCACAUCUGCAGACAUCUGCAGCUGAAGAGGUGGACCAAACCUCUGCAGUCUUCUAGAAGUCUUCUUCUAGAAGACUGUUUGUUUUUUAUGUAACAAAGCAAAGAUCUGCUGAAAUUAACCACCUCAUAUGUGAACAAGGAACUAGUUUCAAUUGAACUGGUAAUUCAAAUGUACAAAUUCAUGUGAGAGAACACUGAUUAAAAUAGAAAACAAACACUAGUCGACAACCCCCAAAUUACAGUCACCUUUGUUUUAUAAAAAACUUUAAACCCAUUAGUGGUGAUUUCUUGAAGAAUUAAAGAAACCCAGAAGAUAUGGAACAAUUGCGAUUGAAUUUGUGGUUUGAUGAAGAAAUGGGGAGAAAAACUUACGAUUUCGAUUGUGUUGGAAACAGUGAAGUUAUUCCGUUCUUCCUCUAUACCCCUGUUCUUGAAGCAUCGAAUGUAGGGGAUGGAGAUGCAAGAAAUGAGUGAAACAAGUUAGAUAAAUAAUAAUAAGUUGUUUCGAUUUAUGAUUGUAGUAGUUGUAUUCUCUAUUAAUGGCAGAUUGUAGUAUUACUUACGGAGAGCUAGGAGAGGAGGCGGAAGCUGAGAACACGGUUGUCCGGCGGUGGCGGUGUUCGCCGGUGGUGGAGACGGUGAUUUAUGAUAAUGGAGGUGUCGUUGUGGAGAAGAAGGGUGCUAGGGUUGUGUUUUGGAGAAGAAGGAUGUGGGGGUCUGUGGAGAAGAAGGGUGCUAGGGUUUUUUUUAGAUGUGUUUUGAAAGAGGAGGAAGUGGUUUGGCAGAGGUGUGAAGAUGUAAGUCCAUAUCUGCGCGAGGAAGAGCUCUAGAAGAGCUUUUUUAGUGAAAUCUCGUCCAAAAAACAAACACGCUGCAGACCCAAAGGUCUGCGCGUGGUCUACAUGGCGCAGACAUAAGAGGUUAGGAAGUACUUCUUGCAAAAAACAAACACCCCCUUACUGAUAUUAAUAAAUGAAUCACAUUUGCAUAACCUCUAUCCAAAGACUACGACAAUUGGCAUUGAUGCGAGAAACUAUCUUCGAGGCUUGAUCCACAAGAAUAGUUUGAGAAUUGUUGUUUUUGAUAUGGAGAACGAUGAUGAGCGUUACAUGGUAGAUGCAUAUUUGGAAGGCGUUAGUCUUCAGGAAACCCUCUUAUCUCACGGUUGGGCAUGGACGGAAAAAAUGCCUUUUGACAAAAAAAAAAGAUUUCAUGAAGAUACCGUCUUUAUAUGCUAACAAAAAAAAAGUAUGUUAUUUUCAAAACACGUUAUUGUUUGAUAUCAGCUACAAAAAUAAGCUAGUAAUGAAAAAGUCGGAUUGUGGGCGCAUCAUCAAGAUACAUAGAAGGUGACGUAGCAGCACCAAAGAAAGAAAUCCAGCGAUGUUCGCCAUUUAAAGCUAACGAACAGGGUACCACAUGAAACUAGCUUGCUUAAUAUUAAGGUUCAUGCUAUAUGUCUGCACUACCAAAUGUAAAUUGGUUUUUGAUAACACAUCGUCACUAGAUAUUAAACUCAAGUUUGAUUAAGCUGCAACUUUUGAAGUGGUGCAAAGAUUAGCAGUUUUCUUGAUAAAAUCACAUGAAACCAAAAUCUUCAAUGACUCUAGCUUUGUGGCAAACGAAACAAACCACCGGCAUAAAGCAUCUGGAGAAUGGGCCUAAUCCUAAUCACAGUAAUCCCUUGAUGACGGAGGUGCUGCCCAUGAGUUCACGACCAUAUUGUCAACCAUAUGUUAGAAUAUCGAGAUCGAGCGACAAGUACGUGAGCUUCUUCAAUAGGCGCAGUCAUAGCCCAUUUUAAUCACCCGUUUUAUUGGUCAAAAAGUUGGAUGGUACGUGGCGGUUUUUUGUCAACUAUCGGGCCUUGAAUAAAAUUACAAUUGAAGACAAAUAUCCGGAUGAUCAAGAACUAAUUGAACGAGCUAAGAUUUUUCCUAAACUAGAUCCUUGUUCCGCGCACCAUCAGAUUCGAACAAAAAAAAGAUUUACAUAAAACGGCGUCUUGAACACAUGAUGGGCAUAAUGAAGUUGCGGUGAUGCCUUUUGGCCUUACGAACGCGCCGACCAUGUUUCAAAGCUUAAUGAAUGAUCUUUUUCGGCCGUAUCUUCAUAGACUCCGGAAGCGAAUGAUAGCGGCUUAAAAAAGUUCCUAACGAACGUUGACUACUAUAGCAAGUAUUCAAAGGUUAUUGAGCAUUUUUCGGAAAAGAAAUGGUUCCCUAAGGAUGCUACGUGGUACCCCGCCAUAUGUAAGGAAGGUGAAAAAACAAAAAAGACGUGACACAUGCUACAGUUGCAACAAUUGUUGCGUCAACCUUAGAAGGAAAACUUAACUCUGUGGUCAAGGUUUAUCUUAUUACUCUAAUCACUUCAAAUUAGCACCAACAACUUAGAUUAACGCCAACCUUUUCGGUUGUGACAACUGGCACUUUUCCAUGUAUUCCGUACAGUAUAAACAGUAAUUUGUACCUUAAUGACUGUGCAUGAUUGAGCU
Long non-coding RNA from Helianthus annuus (common sunflower), 2947 nucleotides. RefSeq lists it as uncharacterized. The transcript is spliced from 5 exons. Lineage: Eukaryota; Viridiplantae; Streptophyta; Magnoliopsida; Asterales; Asteraceae. The record is from RefSeq and is a predicted model, not a curated record.